This 393-nucleotide unclassified non-coding RNA is filed under the name soil metagenome. Its description in RNAcentral is "partial contains 5.8S ribosomal RNA, internal transcribed spacer 2, and large subunit ribosomal RNA". The stretch from base 1 to 122 matches the Rfam family "5.8S ribosomal RNA", at positions 35 to 154 of the family's 154-position model. The record is from RNAcentral.
GAUGAAGAACGUAGCGAAAUGCGAUACUUGGUGUGAAUUGCAGAAUCCCGUGAACCAUCGAGUCUUUGAACGCAAGUUGCGCCCGAAGCCACUAGGCCGAGGGCACGCCUGCCUGGGCGUCACACGUCGUUGCCCCCCCCCCAUCUACUCCUUCGGGAUUGCGGGGGGCGGAUGAUGGCCUCCCGUGCGCCUAGCCGCGCGGUUGGCAUAAAUACCAAGUCCUCGGCGACGCACGCCACGACAAUCGGUGGUUGCGAAACCUCGGUUGCCCGUCGUGUGCGUUCGUCGCGCAUCGAGGGCUUGAAAAAAUGCUCGGCUCCGGCUCGGCUUUCAACGCGACCCCAGGUCAGGCGGGGUUACCCGCUGAAUUUAAGCAUAUCAAUAAGCGGAGGA